AUUGAAUUAAAGUUGCAACCAAACCACUCAGUCAAAAGAGUCUUGACCACUUGUAGUAUCUUCACCAUCAUCAGAAGAACUGUCACUAUUUGCAUUAAAUGUCAAAAUGAGUUGCAGAAGCUCCCUUCCAACCUCUGAAUUUUCUUCAAUGCUCCCCAGGUUUGUUCUCUGUCUUUGCUGGGAAAGUAAUUGCAACAUUAGGUCCUCUGGAG
Molecule: unclassified non-coding RNA, 212 nt
Filed under: Hevea brasiliensis (rubber tree)
Lineage: Eukaryota; Viridiplantae; Streptophyta; Magnoliopsida; Malpighiales; Euphorbiaceae
Source: RNAcentral